This is a long non-coding RNA of Lolium rigidum, 681 nucleotides long. RefSeq lists it as uncharacterized. The transcript has 3 exons. Lineage: Eukaryota; Viridiplantae; Streptophyta; Magnoliopsida; Poales; Poaceae. The record is from RefSeq and is a predicted model, not a curated record.
GGUUGGGUGAUUCUGCAUGUCAGUUUUUUAAUCCUCAAGAAACUGCGGAUUAUCCAUUUUUCACUUGCAUUGUUGCUCGAUCCAUUCAGGGUAUAACUGUUUCAUGUUUUGAUAUGACCUGUAUCCGUGCAAGUUUAUGGCAACAUCAUCAUGCAUGGAUGUAUACUUCUAUACAGUAGCUUAGCUGAGGUCUUUAACAGGAGCAAAUGCGCCAGGGAGUAAAUCAGUUGGUUGAAAGAGUGGCGAGAAUGCGCACUGAGGUUGCUGCAGAGUUUUAUCCUGAGACCUGGAGACAAGGGAGGAUGUUGUCGUCUUGUUUGUUCCAUGACGCACAUGUUCAAGAGUUCCAGUUGCGUGGCGUGCCACGCAACUUCAAUCGUAUCCCCAAUGCAAUAACUCAGAUGUCUGGUGCCUAUAUAUUUUAUUAAAGAGUUGCAAUGUUUGUCUAUGGUGAUCUAGUUCCAUUCCCAGGUAGAAAUGGAGAUGCUCUGAUGGGCGAUGCGUGCAUAAGGGGAGCACGGAAAGUUUUAGUUCAUAGCACAGACAUUGUUCAUGCACGCGUCGAGGGAAAGGAUGUGAAAGAGAAUGCAAGCGCUCGAUCGAUAUUGUUGCACAACCCAAACUAGAGCAUCUUCAAGAAUGCUUCUACACUUCUAUUGCUGCAGAAAGUCAACCACAAAC